CAGUCGCCGCGGUAAUACGUAUGUCACGAGCGUUAUCCGGAUUUAUUGGGCGUAAAGCGCGUCUAGGUGGUUAUGUAAGUCUGAUGUGAAAAUGCAGGGCUCAACUCUGUAUUACGUUGGAAACUGUGUAACUAGAGUACUGGAGAGGUAAGCGGAACUACAAGUGUAGAGGUGAAAUUCGUAGAUAUUUGUAGGAAUGCCGAUGGGGAAGCCAGCUUACUGGACAGAUACUGACGCUGAAGCGCGAAAGCGUGGGUAGCAAACAGGAUUAGAUACCCCCGUAGUCCCUGUCUCUUAUACA
This 301-nucleotide ribosomal RNA is filed under the name uncultured bacterium. RNAcentral's name for it is "partial 16S ribosomal RNA". It matches the Rfam family "Bacterial small subunit ribosomal RNA", at positions 509 to 808 of the family's 1533-position model. The record is from RNAcentral.